CUGCAAGUCAUGCUGUAGGAGCAAUCGUCUUUAAACUCUCUGUAACUUUGCAGUUCAAGAGAGCUCAAAGGAAACCUCAUGCUGCUCUCCCAUGCUGAUGGAAAACAGGAAUGAAUAUUUAACUGGCAAUGAUGACGAAUGAAGAUUUCACAUUAGAGUGGGGUUCCUGGGACUAUCCUCCUCCUCAUCCUGCUGUGCUGCUCUCUCUCUGGGUCACCAUGAGAGAAG
Molecule: long non-coding RNA, 228 nt
Filed under: Gallus gallus (chicken)
Lineage: Eukaryota; Metazoa; Chordata; Aves; Galliformes; Phasianidae
Source: RNAcentral